RNAcentral lists this ribosomal RNA (468 nucleotides) under uncultured bacterium. Its description in RNAcentral is "partial 16S ribosomal RNA". It matches the Rfam family "Bacterial small subunit ribosomal RNA", at positions 28 to 507 of the family's 1533-position model. The record is from RNAcentral.
GACGAACGCUGGCGGCGUGCUUAACACAUGCAAGUCGAACGGAAAGGCCCUGCUUUUGUGGGGUGCUCGAGUGGCGAACGGGUGAGUAACACGUGAGUAACCUGCCCUUGACUUUGGGAUAACUUCAGGAAACUGGGGCUAAUACCGGAUAGGAGCUCCUGCUGCAUGGUGGGGGUUGGAAAGUUUCGGCGGUUGGGGAUGGACUCGCGGCUUAUCAGCUUGUUGGUGGGGUAGUGGCUUACCAAGGCUUUGACGGGUAGCCGGCCUGAGAGGGUGACCGGCCACAUUGGGACUGAGAUACGGCCCAGACUCCUACGGGAGGCAGCGGUGGGGAAUAUUGCACAAUGGGCGGAAGCCUGAUGCAGCAACGCCGCGUGCGGGAUGACGGCCUUCGGGUUGGAAACCGCUUUCGCCUGUGACGAAGCGUGAGUGACGGUAAUGGGUAAAGAAGCACCGGCUAACUACGUG